CCGUGCUAGGCGGGGAACUAGCGGUGCCCUGUACCUGCAAUCCGCUCCAGCAGGGCUGAAUUCCUCCCCGAGGUCACCGCGCUCGGAGGCCGCUGCCCCAGGCGACGUUGAGGAUCGGGUCCCGCGCAGCGGCGAAUCGCGAACCGUGUCAGGUCCGGAAGGAAGCAGCACUCAGCGAAGCUCGUCGGGUGCCGCGGAACGGCCUGGUCCGAGCCGCCUCCGGUGGUGGGCCCGGGCGUCGGUUGAUCGACGGGGGGUGCACGG
Molecule: non-coding RNA, 264 nt
Organism: Chloroflexi bacterium RBG_16_70_13
Lineage: Bacteria; Bacillati; Chloroflexota
Source: Rfam